AUGUUCUUCCCUGCCGCCUCCUGGUUUAGUUCACAUGUCUUGAAUUACUUUGAUCCUUUUGGUAACAUCAAAUUGGGUUGCAUAGAAGUAACUGCUAACUGUGUUGACCUUUGUGAGAAAUCUACAGCAGCACUUCAAAACUCCCAGGCUGUUUUCAUCAGCAAGCUCACAGCUGACCACAUGAUGGAACUCGAUAAUACGACACUGUCCGAUGUACUUGAGAUUCCAAUGAAUACAUGUCGAAGCGAUGUGGUCAUCAGCAUGUAUGCUCUCAAUCUCCUGGUCUAUAAUAUGCAUCCUUUGCCGGUUCCCUGCAAGCGCUUUCGACCAUGA
Molecule: ribosomal RNA, 333 nt
Filed under: Triticum aestivum (bread wheat)
Lineage: Eukaryota; Viridiplantae; Streptophyta; Magnoliopsida; Poales; Poaceae
Description: partial small subunit ribosomal RNA
Source: RNAcentral